UUAAUCGGGAAUUACUGGGCGUAAAGCGCACGCAGGCGGUUUGUUAAGUCAGAUGUGAAAUCCCCGCGCUUAACCUGGGAACUGCAUUUGAAACUGGCAAGCUAGAGUCUCGUAGAGGGGGGUAGAAUUCCAGGUGUAGCGGUGAAAUGCGUAGAGAUCUGGAGGAAUACCGGUGGCGAAGGCGGCCCCCUGGACAAAGACUGACGCUCAGGUGCGAAAGCGUGGGGAGCAAACAGGAUUAGAUACCCUGGGUUCCACGCUGUAAACGAUGUCGAUUUGGAGGUUGUGCCCUUGAGGCGUGGCUUCCGGAGCUAACGCGUUAAAUCGACCGCCUGGGGAGUACGGCCGCAAGGUUAAAACUCAAAUGAAUUGACGGGGGCCCGCACAAGCGGUGGAGCAUGUGGUUUAAUUCGAUGCAACGCGAAGAACCUUACCUACUCUUGACAUCCACAGAACUUUCCAGAGAUGGAUUGGUGCCUUCGGGAACUCUGAGACAGGUGCUGCAUGGCUGUCGUCAGCUCGUGUUGUGAAAUGUUGGGUUAAGUCCCGCAACGAGCGCAACCCUUAUCCUUUGUUGCCAGCGGUUCGG
Molecule: ribosomal RNA, 589 nt
Filed under: Serratia marcescens
Lineage: Bacteria; Pseudomonadati; Pseudomonadota; Gammaproteobacteria; Enterobacterales; Yersiniaceae
Description: bacterial SSU rRNA
Rfam family: Bacterial small subunit ribosomal RNA
Source: RNAcentral